GCCCGGCUAGCUCAGUCGGUAGAGCAUCAGACUUUUAAGAAUACUUAGCAAUCUGAGGGUCGGGGGUUCGAGUCCCCCGUUGGGCG
RNAcentral lists this transfer RNA (86 nucleotides) under Dreissena polymorpha. It matches the Rfam family "tRNA". From Rfam's summary of the family: Transfer RNA (tRNA) molecules are approximately 80 nucleotides in length. The record is from Rfam by way of RNAcentral. Lineage: Eukaryota; Metazoa; Mollusca; Bivalvia; Myida; Dreissenidae.